This is a non-coding RNA of Sturnus vulgaris (Common starling), 2156 nucleotides long. The record is from RefSeq and is a predicted model, not a curated record. Lineage: Eukaryota; Metazoa; Chordata; Aves; Passeriformes; Sturnidae.
AGGUGUGGGUAUCUCUUAUGAAGGGGACUGAAGUAGGACCAGCUGAUAUCCAAGAAUUCUUUCUUUGUCACCAAUAAUCCAUUCAUCUGACUUAGAAACAUGAAGACAUUAAAAAGUUAGAAUGUUGUUCCUUUUGUCUUACCUGUGUUUUACCUGUUCAGGUAUGUUUCACCUUAUAAAGAUUAGCAUGUAUAGAUAGCCCUGUUGAUUGCUAUUUGAGUCUUGGACGCUUUCUUACUAAACACCUCUGUAAGAAUACUUUACAAAUUAAAUAUCAGAGUGGUAAAGACAACUCGUUGCCUUCUCCUGCAUAGUCCAUACUGUGUGACAAAGUGCCUCACAGUUUUAGAUUGACCUUCUUUUGACUUUCAUACAGAUAUAAUCUGUUUGUGUUUUUAAAAUGGAAAGGUAGCCAUAUAUGUAGUGGAAUUGCAUAUAGUUGCUGAUAUAAUGUCCUUCAUCUAAUUUAUUCCAUUUUAUAGCCUUCCUACAUUUUCCCCCUUUAAGGUGUAGAUAUUAGGACAGUAUAUUUACAAAUGAAAUUAUAUUUUUAAUGUCAUGAGUAGGUGUAAUUAGGUUGAAAUACUUCAAUUUUGCAGUCAGUGUUUUGCAUUUGAGGGUUUUUUGGUGGGGUUUUGUUUGUUUUGUUUUUUGUAACUAUCUAUGCACAUUGUUUUACAAGGUGAUUUAAGUGUAUUUCUUAGCGGGCUUGUGAUAAAUAAGAUGGAACUUGCCAAGAGAGGAACUCUUUUCCUUUUUUUCCCAAAGUAUUGUUAUAGUAAAUAUAUUUUCUUACUGUCCUGCUCUUCAGUAGACCUCACACAGGAAACGCCAUUACCUCCUCAUUUUGCCAACUUUGUGAUAAGUUGGGGACUUUACUGGCAGUUUCAUAACUUGUCAUGAUAGCUCUCCUAAGAAGAGGGUGAGUGGAUCCUGUGGCUCUGGUGUGGUAUAUAGAUGCCAAGUGCUAGGAAUUCCUGGAAUGUAGAGUUGUGCAGCACUGAUAAAGUUUGCUUUGUUUCCUUAGUGACUUGGCCCAUUGAGAAAAUGUGAUUCCCUAGGAAGGUUUAGUAGCUCAAAGUUUAUAUUGAAUAAAGAGAAAGGCCCUUGCAUAAUUCUGCUUGUUUUCACCUGCUGCCUGAAAGAUUAAUUUUCUUAACCUUCAUAUAGAAAAUAUAACCCUGAGUUUUGAAAGUGAUUUAUAGAGAUCCUUCACACUUAUCAGUUUGAGUAAAUAUGCCACAGGCUUUUGCGUUCCAGCUACGGUCUUUUCAUAACCUUCUCAGUUUACAGUGUGGUAAUUUCAUUUGGGGGUAAGAAAGUUUCAAGGAAAAACACCUUCUAAUUAGAGUGAUAUAAUCACUCUGCUUGCCUGCUGUGGUUUCAUAUGACUUCAGAAAAAUAGUUGAAUGAUUAAUCUUUAAUUUUCCCCAUCAUUAACUUAAUAAGGAAAUGGGAGAUUGAAGAAAAAACAAACAGCAGAACUGUACAACUGAGACGUUGUUAUGCCAAAUCUUUUUGGCUUUUUUGUUUGGUGAGAGAUGCCAUUCUGUGAACUCUAUGUGAAGUGUAGCAGCAACUGGUUAGCUCAGAUAAUUCAUAGAAACUUGGAACUUUAUUGAAGUCUUUGCAGAGCUUGCUGUACAACUUCUUCCCUCUUCCCCACAGUCCCCUCUGGGCUGGGUGGUGUUUUUUUCUAUGGUUUAUUUAGAAGCAAAUAUUGCAUAAGCUAAACUUCUAAUAUCAUAAAAUUUCCUUGCACCCAUUUUUCUGAGGGAAAGGAAGCCAUCCCAGACAGUAGCAAAAUACCCUUAGGAAGGAUUGGUUCUAUUUUUGUGCUGGUUACUAUCUUUAGUUGCUGUGCUGAUAAGUGAACUUUGUUGUAGAGUAAUGCAGUUUUUGUAUGAAUGUGACAGGAUUGGUCGAGUCUCUUGGAGAACAAAAACAAAUAAAAAAGUGGAAGCAAGUUUCUCUUUGUACGUCUUUAUUUAAUUCUUAGUGAGUGUAGAACAGGUAACAUAAUACUAGAAGUUUAAUGCUUGCAUAGAAAAUAUGCCUGGUGCUUGCAAAUGUUCAUCUAGAAGUUGUAAUUCUUUUCAUUAGUAAAUACUAUAAAACCAGUCAAAUGUACAUCUGCAGGCAGCAACACAGCAACA